RNAcentral lists this unclassified non-coding RNA (203 nucleotides) under Hevea brasiliensis (rubber tree). Lineage: Eukaryota; Viridiplantae; Streptophyta; Magnoliopsida; Malpighiales; Euphorbiaceae. The record is from RNAcentral.
GGAUUUUAUGCAAAAGCAAUUAGCAUCUAAUAUAUUAUUGAAGGAAAUUCUGGUUGUUGAAUUACAAUUCUUGGGUCUUGAGCUUCGGCCACGACAGGGGCUUAAUGGAUUCCUUCAUAUAUGAAUGGUUUUCGCUUGAAAUUUAAAAUAGCUGAUUAUCGAUCUUCCAUAAAUGGAGCCAGCACUAUAUGUAAUUUAUAGCA